This 74-nucleotide transfer RNA is filed under the name Candidatus Daviesbacteria bacterium. RNAcentral describes it as "tRNA-Glu". It matches the Rfam family "tRNA". Rfam says of the family: Transfer RNA (tRNA) molecules are approximately 80 nucleotides in length. Their secondary structure includes four short double-helical elements and three loops (D, anti-codon, and T loops). Further hydrogen bonds mediate the characteristic L-shaped molecular structure. tRNAs have two regions of fundamental functional importance: the anti-codon, which is responsible for specific mRNA codon recognition, and the 3' end, to which the tRNAs corresponding amino acid is attached (by aminoacyl-tRNA synthetases). tRNAs cope with the degeneracy of the genetic code in two manners: having more than one tRNA (with a specific anti-codon) for a particular amino acid; and 'wobble' base-pairing, i.e. permitting non-standard base-pairing at the 3rd anti-codon position. Lineage: Bacteria; Candidatus Daviesiibacteriota. The record is from RNAcentral.
GACGCCAUCGUCUAGUGGCCUAGGACACAGGGUUUUCAUCCCUGUAACCGCGGGUUCGACUCCCGCUGGCGUCA